UGCAAUAUUAAAUCAGCUUUCUAUUUUAUUGAACAGGCGAUGACUGGCUUCUGAGUGAGAACUCUUAAGAGUGUGUUCGUUGAAGGUAGGGUGUUCAGAGAGUACUGAAGAUAAAAAAUCACCACAAAUACUUCAUGUACGAAUAAGGAGUUGAUUAAAGUGUGGUAUAUACACACAAUGCAAUAUUAUUCAGCCACGAAAAGGAAGGAAGUAUUUACACAUGCUACACUGUGGAUCAACCUCGAAAACAUUACGCUAAGUGAAAGAAGCCAGUCACAAAAGGUCACCUACUGUAUGAUUCCGUCUAUGUGAAAUAGCCAGAAUAGGUAAAUCUACAGAAACAGAAAGCAGAUUGGUGGUUGCCAGGGGUGAGGGUGUGGGGGUGGUAAAUGGGGAGUAACUGUGUAAGGGGUUUAGGGUUUUCUUUUGGGAUGAUAAAAAUGUUUUAGAACUAGAUGGAGGUGAUGGUUGCAUAGCAUUAUGAAUGUACUAAAUAUCACUGAAUCACUGACUUUACAAUGGUUAAUUUUAUGUUAUGUGCAUUUCAUCUCAGUUGAAAAGAUACUUCGGGGGAAAAAAGUACAAAAAAAAGACACCUGGAGCCAGCCCCGGUGGCCUAGUGGCUAAGUUCGGCACACUUCGCUUCUGCCGCCUGGGUUUGGUUCCCAGGCACAGACCUAUACGAUGUCAGUGACCAUGCUGUAGCGGCCACUCACAUAUAAAAAGAGGAAGAUUGGCAACAGAUGUUAGCGCAGGGCAAAUCUUCCUCAGCAAACAGAGGAAGAUUGGCAAUAAAUGUCAGCUCAGGGCCAAGCCUCCUCAGCAAAGUAAAACAGAACAAAGCAACACGAAACACCUGAGAAAGUUGACUUUUUAGGAAGCCUUCCUGACUAUAUAGUCUGGUCCUUUGGUGAGUUUUGUGAAGAAAGGCUCCCCUCUUCCCUACGUUUUUUUCUGCCUUUGUAGCCCCAUCUAACAUUUUGGUUUUCUGUACCCCCAAGAGUACUCAAGUUCUGUUUGAGUCACUUCUUUCAUUCAUUCACAAACUCAUUCAUCCACUUGGUGUCAAGGAGAAUGAUAAUUAAUGUGAUCCAAGACAGAGAACAGCAAGCUGAUCCUGCUGUGUAACUUUGACAGGCAUGUUAACCUCUCUGGUCUUAGGAAGACAUCAACUAGGUUACUUCUCAGGACUCUCAGUUUUAAAGUUCUAUAUUUAAGGAAUGAGAAAUGCAUUAUUAGGUUUCCUUUAAAUAUUCUACCAGCUAAUUUCUCCAAUUCUUUUACUUCGAAUUCAUUUAUCAAACUUAGUUAGACAGACAGAAAAAAAUACAUUACCCUUUGAAUUAGCCUGCUCUUUUUCAUCAGACCUCAAUAAUGAGGAGAAAAUUUAUCUGCAUGUCUGUGGCAAAACUUCUUUGACCAUGGGAAAGCUUUCCUCAUAUUUUUUAAGAUAAAAAUGCCAAAAACAUGUAACUGAUAUACUUUUAACAUUUGAAAAGCAUCAAAAAUGAUUUUUAUCUUUAAUUAUAAAGUGUAACAGAAAAAUAGACACUGCAAUAACUUAAUAGCCCAUCAAAACACUAUCUUCAAGGGUCAUUUAGCAUUUCCAUGAUAAAUUGCUAUUUUUAGAAGCUUAUGUAACCAAACAAAGAAUGUGUUCUUGGCUAUGGCCACGAAGACAAGUUAUUAUCGUGGGAGGGACAAAGGAAUCUGAGAGGCUCAUGAGAGACGGAGCCAGUUGUAGAGGACAUUUCAUAGAGUGCCCUUUCUCUUUAGUCUCCAUUUUCUGCGAUCAGGGUGAUGCAGUGCAUUUCAGUGCCAUUCUCACUUUUGAAGUGCUCUUUCAUCAUUAGCUAAUAAAUACUCAUCAAUGAAUUUUCCUCCUCGUCUUGGAAGUUGGAGGAAAAAGAAAGAUAAUCGCUUUCUAUCUUGUAAGUAUUACUCCCCUUGGGGCUUCCCCUCUUGUGCUUCUAGUAGAAACAUAAGAAAUAAAUUAUACCUACUCAUUUGAAAGGACCGAAGGGUACCAUUCCUUCCAUAUAGAGCACCUGGAAAUUUGCAUCAAAUAUUAAUGAUCUUCAGUAACUACCCAACUGUAGUAGCAGAAGGAAGGUCUGUCUUCCAUUACCAAGCUCUAUACUGUUUAGUGUCAUCUUGAGGAAGGAUGCCUUGGGGGAGUCUUCAUCAGGGAGCUGAGUAUGGUAGAGUUGGGCUGGGAAGAAUUGGUGUCUGUCUGAGCAGGAGCUCCCAAUGUACUUCGUAUCUCUAAUGUCCAGGGUCAAAAACUAAGGGUUUUGGAAUUUUCUAUUCUUUUGUAUUAUCCACACUUCUCCCCCAUGUCAUCUUAGUUCACUUAGACUUGGCUGUGAAUUUCACAGUUUCUGGUUGGUGAAUUGCACUACGCAUGCUUAAAGAUGCCCCUAGACUGUUCUAGCUGUGGAUGGGUUUUGAAGAAGACAAUCUGAUUUAUAGCAUAAGUAAUGUCUUACUGGGUGUCUGCUGCCUUGUCGUUGGUAGUAGUGUUAUCCAAUAGACAUAUAACGCAGACCACAAAUAUGAGCCGUAUAUGUAAUUUUAAAUUUUAUGGUAACCAUAUUAAAAAAGUAAAAAUAAACAGAUGAAAUUAAUAUAUUUUAUUUAACCUAAUAUAUCCAAAAUAUCCGAAAUAUUAUCACUUCAAUGUAUAAUCAGUAUGAGAAGUGUUAAUGAGAUAUUACACAUUUUUUUCACCAAAUCGAUGAAUUUUGAUGUGUAUUUUACACUUACAACACAUCUCAGUUUGGACUAGCCACAUUUUUAUUAUCAACAACCACAUUUCAUAUGCCUGGUGGCCACUGUAUUGGACAGGGCAGGUUUAUAGUUAUGGAUAGACAAUAUUUUAACAGAAAUUUUUAAAUUAAAAAGCAUUCUGAAUUAUUUACCACAAAGUGAAAUCCUGAUGUAAAUUACUGUAAGUUUUUUCUUCAAAGCUUUCUCUUUAUCAAGUAAAUUACCUCUUGUUUUUUCGGGAAUGAGGGGAAAUUAGAGGGUUCUAGCAUUUGCCAGCAGGGAAAGGCUUACUAUAUGUUUUCUCAAACCUACAAUUCGCUCGGGUGGUUAGCGUUGGUACUGGAAUUAACCACCGUAGUGUGAAUGAAUUACAAUCCCUCCCUCCCCAUUUUGCUUUAAGUCCUGCUGUACCUUGAGCUUGGAUCGAACUAAAAACCAGGAAAUGAUGUGACUGUUGAUGUCAGAUAGCAGUUAGGAUUUGACCGUGUUUCUUUGAGCUUAAUCCUAUAGUAGCUGCCCUUUAAGUGGUUUCCACAUACUCUUACUUUUUAUUGCCAUCAUCCUCUGAAAUAAUCUUUUGUGUUUAUUUUUAUGUGGUUGUGUUCCCAUGAAUAAAAAGGAUCCUUCUUAUACUUGUAGCUUCUCACCUCAGCUCAACUGACAGAAUUCUAAUGGGCCACAGCAGCAACCUAAGGACAUAGAGGCGCCAACGUGGCCACAAUGAACUCCCUUCUUGGGCUAAAAACCUCAUUUUUUUGGAGAACAGUAUCACAAAUAUUUGGUCAGUCUGUCAUUCCAUCAACUGGAACUUUAUUCCUUGGCGCUUCCACACAUUUACAGGGGAAUGAUCAUUAAUGUUGGUAAUUAUUUAUCUUUGGACAUCAACCAUGAGCAAAGCACUGUGGUAGGUGCUGUGAGAGAUAUGAAAAGGAAACAUCAUCCUCUCUGCCCCCAAGGUACUUAGCCUGAUGAUGCCGGUAAGCAUGAUACAUAAGAGUCCCAGUCAAGGUUCUAAAGGUUUGAGCAGAAGUAUCAGCAGGGUGCUCAGAUGUCCCUGAGGUCCUCUAAGAUAUAGGGAGCAAAUAUUUGCCAUGGCCUGUUUCGAGCCAGGAGAUUUACUAGAUGCCAGUGACAAUUAAGAGGAAGACAUAGUUUCUCUUCCUGAGGAUCCCCUAAUCUACUGUGAGAUGUGGGAAACACAACCACCUGCAGAGCCGUAUGAGAUAUGAUAUGAUAGAGAAAUAGAACAACUGAAACACAGACGAAGGAGAGACCAAGACCUCCAGUCCCAGUUGGGGUCAUAUCUUCAGAGGCAAUGGUGAUGGGGCUGAUUUUCAAAGCAGAAGUUCAGUGACAGGAAGAGGAGAGGAAAGCAGCCUGGUGAGAAAGGGGCAGGAACGAAAGCAAAGGUGGUCCUAGGGCUGGUGAGCCUUGGAGAAAAGUUGUAUCUGAGCAAGUUGCAUUCUCCCCAAAUCAUGUGAUUCUGUCUUAGGAUACUUGAUUCAAAUUAUGCCUGUGUAUGUUCUCUAGAGUUCAUGGAUGUUUAAAAAAUUAUUGUAAGUUACUAAAAAUGGAUAAUUUAAUUUUCGCUAUCAUUUAAAAACUCCCACAUCAAUGGCUAUUUUUGUUUCAUCAUUAUAAUAGAGAGGUGCCAUGUCAUGAUGGUUAAGAGCUGACUCUGGAAGCCAGAUUCAAAUCUCAACUCUGCCACUUAAAGCUCUGUGAUAGUUAGCACCUCUGUACUUCAGUUUCCUCAUCUGGAAAAUGGAAAGUAAUAAUAGCAUUUACCUAUGUUUAGUAGGUCAUUUUUAGUAAUAAAAUGAGUUAAGGUUUGGGAAGGGCAUGAAAUAGUGUCUUGUUCAUGGUAAGUAUCCUAAAUGAUUGUUAAAUCAAAUGAAUGCAAUACACAAACUUCUAGAGGCUUGCAAUGGCAAACAGCUUUCUGUGUGACUGGCAUGUGAUCAGGGCAGUGCUGAUUGUUUUUUUUGAGACAGUGAAUUUGCUUGUUGUCUAACUGGUCUGAAAUCAGUCCCUGAUAUACACUGACAUGAAUGCAGAUUGCAGUAGACACCCUUCUAAUAGGAUUGUAUGAGCUUUCUAUUUUAUUUUAGUACAUGCUAAAAACACUUUUAAUUGUUCUAAAUAUCUAAAUUAUCCACUUCAAAGAAUUUGCAUUUGAAAUAUCCAGAAAAGCAAGUCUCUUCUAAGAGAAUGUGUGAGGCUAUGUGUACAUCAACAUUGGAUCGUAUAUGAAAAUAGCACUUUUGUAGGUAAAGGUAACGUUGUCCCAUUGCAAUGAGUGAUUGUUUUGCAUUUAUGUAAAAAUUGCUUAUUAAGAAAAAAUCCAAACAGGCAUAAAAGUAAAGAGAAUAAUAUAGUGGCCGCUCACAUAUCCAUCAUUUAGAUUUUAACUAUUCUUUGGUUAAAGUAUUUUAAAGCAAAUUCCGGAAAUCAUGGCAUUUCAAUCCCUAAAUAUUCGAUUAGAAAUUUAGAGGUAUAUUUUCUUAUAUAGCCACAAUGCUACCCCACCUAACAGUAACCUGUCUUUGAUAUAUCCCAUCCAUAUUCAAACUUCCCUAUUUGCCGUCAAAUGGCUUUUUCAGUUAGUUUGCUUGAAUCAGGAUAAAAACAAGACCUACACAGUGCAUUUAGUUAUCAAGACUUCUUUUAAUCUAGGGUGGUCUGUGUCCCUAUGAGAGUUUGAGAGGGUUUUAUAGUGUGAUGGGCUCAAGGUCUGAGACCUAGGGAAGCCCUGUACAGGCCAGGUGUUGGGCUGUUACCUAAUUUGCCUCAGGUAGAAAAACUUUUGCCAACAAAGUUAAAUCAUAAUUAUCAUUCAACAAGUUUUCAUGUCCAUUAUAUGUAUUCUUGGCACUGGGCGAGGCACUGAAGGUCCAGAAAGACAUGAGACACGAUCCCUGGGCUCAGAAAUCAGGCAGAGAGUGUCUGCUUUUUGACCACGAAAGUUUCUGCUGCAUGACCCACCAGAGGAUGUGAUGUUGCAGUAGAGGGAGGAGUGUGGCUGUCUCCAGGGAACCAGUCAAAGUGCAAUGCUGCAGAGUCCUGCUUAUGGCUUUUCUUUACAGUGUUGGAAUACACCAGACAACUGAGACUGCUGGCAAUUUUAAAGCCCAGUCAGAAAGGUGCCUAGUGAUUAGAGACAGGAGAUUCUGCCCUCCAUGCUAACACCCUCUCCCUUAGGGACGUACUGUCUGAUGUCAUAUUCCUUGGUCAGUAUAAAUUGUGUCAAGCCUCCAUAAAUAUGCCAAGUACUAGAUAUCAUUUGAAAAAUGGUUAAUGUCUCCCAGGAAGUAGCAUUCUAAAGGAAAAUAUAUACAAAAAAAUUUUUCCCCUUAUAUUUUCUUUAAUUAUGUCUUCUUCCUAAUUUGGAAGGAAUUCUUGAAAGUGAUGAGUUUACAGGGAAGAAAGGAGAAAGUCUUUUUUCUCAGGAAUAUGUGUAUUAGGGAGACAAAUGCCAAAGCUGGACCAAAACAGCACGGAGAGAAGCCUGGGGGGCAGGAAGGGCUCUGGACUGAGAAAUGGAAAGCCCUGGAGCUGAAGUCCUCGCUCUUCACUUACAGUUAUUUUAAAUUGAGCAAGUCACCAAACUUGCUUAAAAUCAGUUUUCCUUUCUAUAAAAUAACAAUGCCUUUUUCAUACGGCCUGUAAUGAAGAUGAAAUAAAAGAUGAUAAUUUCAAAACUUUCUAGACUUUGCAGCCCCCUUACAAAUAGGAAAGGAGUAUUAUUAUUACGGCCAUUAGGAGGAGGAAACCUGUCUGAAUUCUUUGGAAGAACAAAUAUUUACGAGAGUACUGUGUGGAUCAGAAGAUGGUGAGCCAAGGUCCUUGGAACUCAGAAUGAAGAAUGGUUCAAGACUAUUUAUUUAUUUAUUUCCAGAAUAAAGAAUGAAGUAUUUUUAAAAAUGAUGUAACUUUGUCUCAAUCUCUAUCAGUGUAGUAGCAAGAAUAAAAUUAACCUGACGUGUUGAGUAGGCUAAAUUCAUUCCGUGGCAGUGUUAAUGAGGAAUGCCUCUGCUUCAGUAUAAAAUAGAGUUAUAAUAAUGAAAAAUUGGCUUAUUGAGUACAGGUAUACACUACUGGGUCUUCUAUAAAGUUGAGAAGUCAGUGAACUUGUAGCUAUAUAGUGUAUUGAUUAUUUGCACAGAAAUUAUGACUUAAAUGCUAGUGGGAGAAAGAAAGGGGAGAUUUGACUAUUUGACCUUCAUACAACUGGGAGUCAGAAAACUUCAAGAGGGCGUGACAGGGAGACGGAUUUCAGAACCAGAGGAAGGUGUGAAAAGUGUAAAUACAACAGUCAAAUAUCCUCUGGGUGCCUUAAAACUAAGCUGGGGGACAAUUUUGUUUUUGUUAGUAUUCUGGGUGCUCAAUCUGUGGUAAUUACAAUAUAUGGCAAUGUAAAACUUGCAUUGAUGCCAGCCCCCUUCGAUGUUCUAGGUAUUCUUGGAUGGUCAUUAAGUAAACCAAGCAUAUGCUGGUAUGUUCAGCUGAGCCCUUCUAGAAUUUCCAACAGAAAGCCAUUGAAUUAGGUGAUGAAGGUGGAAGGUAAAGAAGUAUCAAAUAAGAGGAGUGGUGAAAUUCAGAGUAACAAGGAUUGCUUGUAUAACAGCACAUAAGAUGCCUUUAUUUUAAUGGUGUAUCUAAACUAUAGGAUGAUUUAAACACUUGGCAUGUUAUGACUACAUCACUCUCCACCACGAAAUUACCAUUUCUAUUUCUUUAGUAUCAUCUAUUUUUGUAUCAUACAUUUUAUUUAUUGAGCACCUACUAUUCGGGAGCACAGUGUCAGGUGUAUGUGAGGGAACAGUCUUCAUUCGUCAAUGGCAGAGUGAGAUCAAGCAUGAUUAAAAACUCAACAGUAACCAGGGGUGGAUAAUUACUAAUGCAUUAGUGGCAAGUGCCAUUUCAGACGAAUGGGAAGAGGAAUGACGCAGAUAGUUUUUGCUCUGUCUCUUUUCUGGCAAUAUGAUUGUCACAUACUCAGGCCUUGCAAGGAUUCCAAGUUGUAAGUAUUGAGGGUAUCUAGUGAAUUAGAGACGUUAAUCAGUUAGCUGUUCCAUCCUGUGUCUCUAGGACUUGGACACUCUCUUUAGAUCUCAUUGCCAGACAUGUAAAAAACUGCCCUAAGACAUGAUCCUAAGACUUCCUCAAUAGAAUAUGAUCCCUAUGAGGGCAGUACUGGGGUCUAUCUUAGUCGCAACUGCAUCUCCAGUCCCUCACAUUGUGUCUGAAACAGAGUGGGAAUUCGGUAAAUAAAAAACUUUAUAUUUGUUGGAGAAAGAUCUUCCCUGAAACAGAAAAUUCCUUUGAAGCUUAAAUGUAUAUCACAAAGCUCUGAGGCCAUUAGAUGAAGUCUGAAAAAGAAAUGAGCACUUUUAGAAUCACUACAUUUCUUCCGAUGGACAGUAUAUCCCUCCAUCACAAGGAGCACCCAUACACAUAUGCCUACGCCCGUGCAUACCUACGUAGACUCACGUCUGCCCACUUUUUGGUCCUCUGAGCUUUUUAAUCUAGUUUAGAAAAAGAAAGGAAAAUGACAUGAAUUGAAAGUUGUACACUGUAGGCUUUAGACCUUAAAAGACAGUAUAUCAUCAGAGAAAUAAAUCCUUUCUUCUGAGACUGCCUGUAAUUUUUUUUGGCGAGUUCUCACUCUCCUUUUGCAACUUUCCCUCUUCCUUAGAGGAUUCUUUAAGUUCUAUCCAUCAUCUCAUUUACUGAAAUGUACCUCAUUUGGGAAUGAGAACAUUUUGGCAUAGCUGAGAGCUUUUAAUGGAAAUAUGAGAGAAGACAUUUCUGACAUAUAUAAUACCUUCAAUAUGUUGCCAUAUAUUGCACCAUCUCUGAUGCGUUACCCGAGAUGCAUAACGACAGAUGGGCCGAGGAACGAGAAGGAACACUCCCCAAGUGGGGAUUUCUUUAGAAACCAAAACUCCUUCCAAGGUGCUUUGAGCUAUUCUUAGCAAUUGGGGUUCAACACAUUCACCCCCAACAGAAGCAAAUGUCUGCCAAGAGGCUGCCUGUGGGAGCUUUGUUGCCUAGCAUUUUUCUCCAAACAAGAGUCAAGCCAGGCAGCGUAGUCUUAGACUCAGGGAAACCUAGAGCCAGAGCAUUGAGUCCCUGUUUUCAGGUGUGUGACUGUGGUCAAGUUACCUGACUUCUUCGAACCUAUGAUUCUUCAAUCAUGUAAUGGGGCUGAGAAGCAGUUUCUGUUCCAAACUCUGUAAUAAGCUAUGAGAAUUUUUUACAUAGCGGUGGAGAUUAUGAAAUUUUCAGUGUUCCUUACAGUUCUUUUAUGUAUCUGGAGUGGAAAUAUUUAGGAGGGAUGUUUCUUUUCCUUUUUUGUUUCACCCAAACCUAAUCUAAUCACUCGAUGACUCAAAUUUUUCCUCGAAUGCAAACCACACAUUCCAGGAUAAUGCAAAAUUUCAUUUUGGGGUGAGAGGAGUGAGCAAUAAUGUGAUUUGACCAUGUAUUAUGGGGUUAAGAAAAUUUAAAAACCAUCUCAAUGAAGAUACAGUUUUGGUAUCAAUAGCUGUACAGUCAUUAGCAAUGUUUUACUGUAUAGCCACUCUAAGAGCAUCUUUCUCCUUCUCUUAUUUUCUUUUUCUUUUUCGUACCUUGUCUGUCCCAUGCUAUAACACGGUCUGAGCGAGUGCAUAGAUCUGAAUCUAUAAAAUAUUUUAUAUGCUCUCUUUCUUAACCAUGUUCCUUGAGCUUGAGUUGUUUAUCAGAAUCUGCUUUUUUUUCUAACCAUCUUUUUGACUUGCACACAGUUUAGUUGCCUGUUUUCACCACACCCAUACGUUGUGCUGACAGGGCCUUGUGUUUUUUUCAGCAUAGUUUUCCCAUCUGGGGCGUGUGCUUGUUAUUGUAGUAGGAUAGAUAAAAUACCUACGUAAAGACGUAUUCGGGCCAAACUGAGCGUAUUCCCAGAUUUAUGGCUUGUUAGAGUAGGAGGGAACUGAGAGGUCUUUGGAGCCAAAACCUCAGCUUUGCAGAUGAGACAAGAGGGACUUAGAGAAGGGACUUUGGGGCAAGAGGGACUUACACAAGAGGGGCUUCCUGGGCAUUAUGGAGCUCAUGAUUCAUCAGGGGAACAAAUGCCUUUAGAAGGGAACAGCUACCAACAAAAGAAACCCUAGACUGUCUUCCUGGGUUAAUUUAGAAUUCUUUACUGGCAAUAACUAGGGCCAUUGGAAGUACAGAAAAUUAAACACAUUAUCUUGUUUCUCUGAACUAAUAAGAAUAUUCUUCAAAUUGGAAAAACAGUAUCCUUUUGCAGAUUGCAAAUCAGAAGACAUCUAUCCAUAACAGGCAGCUUUACUGGAUGUUCAAAUUUCUUUUGAAGGUGUACAGUAGGUAUGACUACAAAUAAAAUUUUUCCUGUUUUGCAUCCUUAAUGUGCCUACCAUGCUGACCACCCCCUAUCACUCACUGCCUACCUUCCCUGCCUCCGCCCCUGACUCCAGCCUAAACACCCAUUGCAAAGGCAUCCUCAUUGCUUGUUUUCAGCUGGCUUUUGUUCUGGUCUCAUGUCAGCCCAUCUCCGAAUGCUUGGCUUGGCAACCUUAAACUCCAUUUCUGCCUGUGGUUCUUAGACUUGGUGUUUGGCCUUGGUCUCCAUGGAGUUUGAAUUUUGUUCUGUUCAGUAGAUGAGGAAACAAAGGCUGAAUGAGAACAGCAGCAAGUCUGAGCUUGCAAGGGGAGGCAGAAGCUCUUCUAGUUGGGAUUUCUUGAUACAGGGACCAUUCCAUUCAUCACAGAAUCACACUGACAAGAUGUGAACACAAAGGGAGGCUCUGCUAUGUCAAGGACCAGUGAGUAUAUUCUGAGCAGAUUGCCUGCCUUAAGGAAUAGUGUCCUUUACCAAUACCGGUGAGAGGCAUGGGACUUCCCUCAAAGGAACACCCUACCACAUGUUCAGAACUUGCCAUUUUCGGAUUCUCGGCCACUCAGCAUUCUCCAGCCACUCUCUACUCUUCUUCUUCACUGAUCUUAUUGCCCAUACCCGUGGUGCACACACCUUGCUCCUCUGAGCAAGCACACUAUUCACCUUCUAUGACCUGGGUUUCCCUUCUGACUUUACUUUUGUUUCUCCUGAGCAGUUUGAUCACCAAGCUUUCAGUUAAUAAUCCCUUUUUCACUUCUAGAAACUUCUUCCCGGACACCUCCCAUUCAGGCAACAUUUCACUCCACUCCUUUUGGAUGGAUUCAGGAAAGUGUAUAAAUUGUUCCUGAAUCAAGCAAAUUGCAGAUACUCUUUAGAGGAGUAUCCAAAUCUAAGGUUGGCUGGCAGCCAGUUUGUGAAGUCCUAGAGGAUAACAGCUUAUUGUCUAUAAACGCCUGUUUUAAAGUUUCCCUAUUCGGUUCUGGCAGUACUUGUGAUGCAGAGGAUAUUUAUAAGGCUGUGAAGAAAGGUCAUAUGUUGGGUGUUUGCUGCACUGAGUAGCCCAAGAGAUUUUAUUUUUUCGUUCAACAGCUCUUUGUUGCUGUAGAUGACCAAAACAUUGACUCCUCUUUCACUUUUUGCUGAAAAUUUCAAUGUUUUCUGAAAGCUUUGAUAUCUGACUUGUUGAGUGGUUUGGAAUGGCCCAUUGCAAUCUUAGGUAUAUCCUGAAAAUAUAAAUAAAUAAUAGGAAAACGUAUUUAGUCAAAUUUGGCACUUCAAAUUCAUAGGCAACAAUAUCUUGGUAUUAGGAAGCAACAAUGUCUUCAUAUAUUUAGGCUUCUCUUCUGUAAAAAAUGACCUCCAUAUUUAAGAGGAAAAGCUGCUUUCAACAACUUCAAUGAAAGGGUGAUUUUUUUGCAUCUUAAAAAGCUCAUUCAAACCAGCAUAUUAAUGAUUUAUGAACAAAUGACGGGAGACUAUAUGGGAUUACAUUCCUUUUGAACUGUACAAAGUUGCAAAAAGCUUAGAGAAAAAGAACUUGGUUCAAGAUAAAUGUUUGUUGAAUUGAUUUAUUGAACCCUUCUAAAUGCUUUGGAU
Molecule: long non-coding RNA, 11773 nt
Filed under: Equus caballus (horse)
Lineage: Eukaryota; Metazoa; Chordata; Mammalia; Perissodactyla; Equidae
Description: lncRNA (ENSECAG00000057849.1)
Source: RNAcentral